This 576-nucleotide ribosomal RNA is filed under the name uncultured bacterium. RNAcentral describes it as "bacterial SSU rRNA". It matches the Rfam family "Bacterial small subunit ribosomal RNA", at positions 102 to 674 of the family's 1533-position model. The record is from RNAcentral.
ACGGGUGAGUAAUACAUCGGAACGUAUCCUGGAGUGGGGGAUAGCCCGGCGAAAGCCGGAUUAAUACCGCAUACGCUCUGAGGAGGAAAGCGGGGGACCUUCGGGCCUCGCGCUCAAGGGGCGGCCGAUGGCGGAUUAGGUAGUUGGUGGGGUAAAGGCCUACCAAGCCGACGAUCCGUAGCCGGUCUGAGAGGACGACCAGCCACACUGGGACUGAGACACGGCCCAGACUCCUACGGGAGGCAGCAGUGGGGAAUUUUGGACAAUGGGGGCAGCCCUGAUCCAGCAAUGCCGCGUGUGUGAAGAAGGCCUUCGGGUUGUAAAGCACUUUUGUCCGGAAAGAAAUCAUCGGGGCCAAUACCCCUGGUGGAUGACGGUACCGGAAGAAUAAGCACCGGCUAACUACGUGCCAGCAGCCGCGGUAAUACGUAGGGUGCGAGCGUUAAUCGGAAUUACUGGGCGUAAAGCGUGCGCAGGCGGUGCUGUAAGACCGAUGUGAAAUCCCCGGGCUUAACCUGGGAACUGCAUUGGUGACUGCAGCGCUGGAGUAUGGCAGAGGGGGGUGGAAUUCCACGU